This 68-nucleotide transfer RNA is filed under the name Longpotamon exiguum. Its description in RNAcentral is "tRNA-Leu". It matches the Rfam family "tRNA". Rfam says of the family: Transfer RNA (tRNA) molecules are approximately 80 nucleotides in length. Their secondary structure includes four short double-helical elements and three loops (D, anti-codon, and T loops). Lineage: Eukaryota; Metazoa; Arthropoda; Malacostraca; Decapoda; Potamidae. The record is from RNAcentral.
CCUAAAAUGACAGAAAUAUGCAUAGGACUUAAACUCCUAUUAUGAAGGUUAUUCUCCUUCUUUUAGUA